RNAcentral lists this small nuclear RNA (153 nucleotides) under Saimiri boliviensis boliviensis (Bolivian squirrel monkey). RNAcentral describes it as "U1 spliceosomal RNA (ENSSBOG00000005648.1)". It matches the Rfam family "U1 spliceosomal RNA". Rfam says of the family: U1 is a small nuclear RNA (snRNA) component of the spliceosome (involved in pre-mRNA splicing). Its 5' end forms complementary base pairs with the 5' splice junction, thus defining the 5' donor site of an intron. There are significant differences in sequence and secondary structure between metazoan and yeast U1 snRNAs, the latter being much longer (568 nucleotides as compared to 164 nucleotides in human). The record is from Rfam by way of RNAcentral. Lineage: Eukaryota; Metazoa; Chordata; Mammalia; Primates; Cebidae.
AUACUUACCUGGCAGGGAAGAUACCAUGAUCACAAAGUUGGUUUCCCCAGGGCCAGGCUUAUACAUUGCACCCUGGGUGCGCUGACCCCUGCAAUUUCCACAAAUGUGGGAAACUCAACUGCUUAAUUUGUGGUAGUGGGAUACUGCAUUCGG